Molecule: ribosomal RNA, 492 nt
Filed under: uncultured bacterium
Lineage: Bacteria
Description: partial 16S ribosomal RNA
Rfam family: Bacterial small subunit ribosomal RNA
Source: RNAcentral
AGUGAACGCUGGCGGUAGGCCUAACACAUGCAAGUCGAACGGCAGCACAGUAAGAGCUUGCUCUUACGGGUGGCGAGUGGCGUACGGGUGAGGAAUACAUCGGAAUCUACUUUUUCGUGGGGGAUAACGUAGGGAAACUUACGCUAAUACCGCAUACGACCUACGGGUGAAAGCAGGGGAUCUUCGGACCUUGCGCGAUUGAAUUAGCCGAUGUCGGAUUAGCUAGUUGGCGGGGUAAAGGCCCACCCAGGCGACGAUCCGUAGCUGGUCUGAGAGGAUGAUCGGCCACACUGGAACUGAGACACGGUCCAGACUCCUACGGGAGGCAGCAGUGGGGAAUAUUGGACAAUGGGCGCAAGCCUGAUCCAGCCAUACCGCGUGGGUGAAGAAGGCCUUCGGGUUGUAAAGCCCUUUUGUUGGGAAAGAAAAGCAGCAGGUUAAUACCCAGCUGUUCUGACGGUACCCAAAGAAUAAGCACCGGCUAACUUCGUG